UGGGGAAUAUUGGACAAUGGGCGAAAGCCUGAUCCAGCAAUGCCGCGUGUGUGAAGAAGGCCUUCGGGUUGUAAAGCACUUUAAGUUGGGAAGAAAAAGCUCUGGCUAAUAUCUAGAGCCUUGACGGUACCAACAGAAUAAGCACCGGCUAACUCUGUGCCAGCAGCCGCGGUAAUACAGAGGGUGCUAGCGUUAAUCGGAUUUACUGGGCGUAAAGCGUGCGUAGGCGGUUUGAUAAGUCGAUUGUGAAAGCCCCGGGCUUAACCUGGGAAUUGCAGUUGAUACUGUCAGACUAGAAAACGGUAGAGGGAGGCGGAACUCCAGGUGUAGCGGUGAAAUGCGUAGAUAUCUGGAAGAACACCGAUGGCGAAGGCAACCUCCUGGGCCUGUUUUGACGCUGAGGCACGAAAGCGUGGGUAGCAAACAGG
RNAcentral lists this ribosomal RNA (428 nucleotides) under uncultured bacterium. RNAcentral's name for it is "bacterial SSU rRNA". It matches the Rfam family "Bacterial small subunit ribosomal RNA", at positions 355 to 776 of the family's 1533-position model. The record is from RNAcentral.